This is a long non-coding RNA of Belonocnema kinseyi, 832 nucleotides long. RefSeq lists it as uncharacterized. Lineage: Eukaryota; Metazoa; Arthropoda; Insecta; Hymenoptera; Cynipidae. The record is from RefSeq and is a predicted model, not a curated record. The transcript has 3 exons.
AGUGUUUUAAAGCGACGCCCUGAGUGUCCAUCCGUGAGAGGCGCCUGUGUCCGUGUACGGAUACUGUUGUGCACUGACACCAGCGUACAACGGGUUAUCAUAAAAAGGGAGGAGGACGGUUUUGCUUUAUAAUAAUUGCACAAAAUGACCAACGGGGUGCCAAAGCUCGCUGACCGUCGUAAACUCGCACGAGUGCGACGCUUUCCAUCGUUAACAGGUUGCUUGGUUGGCCCUGAGGAGAGGUAGAUUUCUCUAUUUCUAAUCGGUCGCUGGUCCGGAAAAUUGGAGAGGUCCUAAUUAGUUCUGUAAUGCUGUUUGAGCCAGGUUCUAGCUAGAACUUCUGAGAAGGCCCUAACGAGAAUGCCCUUUUAUCGCCCUAUGACUGGUAGGGCGCCAUCUAGACCCUUUCUAUUACCUGAUGAAUAUUUAAAUGAUAUGACAAAAAAGGAAUUCAGCUAACGUGAAAUAGUAUUAUUUUUCUGACAUGGAGAACUGCAAUAAAGAAUUACACGAUGUCAUAGGAAAUCGUAUAUGUGACACGAAAUACCCUAGAUCGAAUGAAUAUUCCGGUCAAUCAAUAUAGAAACAACUACAAUAUCCCCUCUAGCUUUAAUUAUACGUUUAAUAUAGUACAGACUAUGUUGAAACAGAAACUUUCUGAAAUGUCAAAAUGUUUGUCUUUCGAUUAAAUUUGGUUGAAAGCAAAAGCAUGUUCAGACUUUAGGUACAUAUAAUUUCCCUGAAUAAUUACGCCUCAUUUUUAAGAAAAAGGAAAUUCUACUAUUAUUUCUUGAAUACAAAUGAUUAAAAAAUAUUUAAAAAUGUAAAUUAU